This is a long non-coding RNA of Solea senegalensis (Senegalese sole), 1209 nucleotides long. RefSeq lists it as uncharacterized. The transcript has 3 exons. The record is from RefSeq and is a predicted model, not a curated record. Lineage: Eukaryota; Metazoa; Chordata; Actinopteri; Pleuronectiformes; Soleidae.
UCGAGCUCCCAGGUUAAGCUUGAUUUAAAUUUGCAUACAUUUUCAUACAUUUAGGAGAAAUAAAAGAAGGCUGCAGCCACCAGAAAGUCAUUAAAGAGCGUCGAGCCGAGGAGCUGCUAUGGCAUGAGGAGACGGAGGCAGACAGAGAGAGACAGACAGAGAGAGGAGGCCGGAGCAGCAGGAGGAAACACAGUGAGUGGAUGUAUAUGAAGCUAAAGCUCAUCCCACGAGAGCACACACACAAGUGUGCUGUUUGCAGAAGAGGCUAGUAUAUUGUCCAUGGGUCAGUGAAGGAGCCAUGGUUAGUAGAAAUCUACAUAACAUUACCAUCUGUUAAACUUCAAACUGCCCAGUAACACACACGCACACACACGCACACACACGCACACAGUAUUCUAAACACAGAGUCUAUGGAAAUGUAGUGUUAAGUUGCUCUUCAGGUCCUAUAUUUCACCUCCUCCUCCCACUGAGAGCAGAGAAGAGCUCAGAGUUGAGGCCUCUCCUGGCACCAACUGAUGCCAAUGAGGCAGAGAGAGAGAGAGUUGUUACUCAAACUUGCUGAAAAUCUCUCACUUUCCUCUCUCUCUGCAACUACAGCUCAAACACCAAACGCAGCCGCUGUUUAAUGAACAACACGGGAGAAUUCCAUGUAGAAAAUCAGCAAGUUUUCUGCCACGGCUAAACAGCUAACCAGCACAAGUUCCCCUGUGGCUGGCACACACACACACACACACACACACACACACACACAGGUCUCUCUGAAGGAGCAGGCGGAGCCGGCAGUCGCACAUCUGCAUUUCAAACACAGACUCUCUGGGAUUCAUUAUUAAUUAGCCUGCUGAGCCCUGGAGGACUAGUGAUGUUGCCAUCACACACACACCUGCACACACACACACGCAUGCACACACACACACCUCAUGACCUCUGUGCCCCCUCUGCUCUACAGUUAAAGUCCUCACCAGAAUACUGAGCUGUACAGCUUCUCCUCCUCCAAUCAUAUCUCUUCUUCCGAUUUCCUGGCUUAAUGUACGUUAAAGGAUGAUGAAUUACAGGAGUCCAUGGAUUUAUUAAUCUGAGCUUGGUGUAACUGUGUUUAAAGCACACAGCAGAGCACUGAAUAACAUAUGCAAGUAUAUGAGAGAGAGCGAGAGAGCAAGAGAAGAGCUGUACUUGUUCUUAUGUCACAUUAAUAAACAUUGCAAAACUCUC